CCUACGGGAGGCAGCAGUGGGGAAUAUUGGGCAAUGGAGGCAACUCUGACCCAGCAACGCCGCGUGAAUGAUGAAGGUCUUCGGAUUGUAAAGUUCUUUUCUACGGGAAGAAGAAAGUGACGGUACCUUAGGAAUAAGCCUCGGCUAACUACGUGCCAGACGCCGCGGUAAUACGUAGGAGGCAAGCGUUCUCCGGAAUGACUGGGCGUACAGAGUGAGUAGGUGGUUUGACAAGUUAGUAGCGCAACUGCGGAGCUCAACUUCGGAACUACUACUAAAACUGUUGGACUUGAGUGCAGGAGGGGCAAUCGGAAGUCGUGGUGUAGCGGUGGAAUGCGUAGAUAUUAGGAGGAAAACCAGUGGCGAAGGCGGAUUGCUAGACUGUAACUGACACUGAGGCACGAAAGCGUGGGGAGCAAACAGGAUUAGAUACCCGUGUAGUC
RNAcentral lists this ribosomal RNA (443 nucleotides) under uncultured bacterium. RNAcentral's name for it is "partial 16S ribosomal RNA". It matches the Rfam family "Bacterial small subunit ribosomal RNA", at positions 338 to 795 of the family's 1533-position model. The record is from RNAcentral.